Molecule: unclassified non-coding RNA, 795 nt
Filed under: Homo sapiens (human)
Lineage: Eukaryota; Metazoa; Chordata; Mammalia; Primates; Hominidae
Description: MUC20 overlapping transcript (ENSG00000280993.2)
Source: RNAcentral
AACCUUUGCUGUCUUGGGACGGAUCACCACUGCAAGAGGGGAAGUUGCUACUGUGAUGAAUUCUGCCAUGUGGCACCAGACUGCCACCCAGACCACAGUGUCCUCUGCAACCCUGGUAACUCACAUACAGGCCCGAUUCCACCGACAGCAAAGCUGGAUGCUAUGGCUGGCAGAGGCAAACCCUUUGCCUGCACUUCAGGCCAAAGCCGGGAUGUGGCCUAGAUGGUUCCUAAGGUCCCUGACAAUCCUGAGAUCUUGCAUCUUGUCUAUUUCAGGUCAAAGGUGCCUACAUGCUCCUUCUAGCUUUGUUUCCCUGAUGUUCCUUGCCACCUGCUACUCCUCUCUGAGCUACUUUUCCAGGUUCCACAGGGAGAGGUUCAGCUGUCCGUGGUAGACAUGAGGGUAGAGAGUGAGGUGGUUGGGUUCCACUUACCUUUCUAUCAUCUUGCAGUAUGGAUGUCUCUUGACUGGUACCGUGUAGACUUUUGAGGGCACACAGGAGUCUGCAGAGAGAUACUGGGGACAUUGAGCAGCAGCAGUGGGGUUGGGAGGCAGAAAUGAGGACAGGAACAUUUACCUUGUGUUUCUCUCAGCUUCUCAGAUGACCAAGAUGGUGCUGCAGAUGGUGCUGAGGAUGGAGAACCCACCAAGCCCCGCUAGGAGCCACCUAGACUGGAUGCAGAGCAUGGCUAAAACCUUUGAAGAAGAAUUUAUUAUAUCCUACAAACCUGGGAGGCAGAGGUUGCAGUGAACUGGGAUUGUGCCACUGCACUCCAGCCCAGGCGACAGAGCAAG